GGCCGGUUGGCCCAAUGGCAAGGCGUCUGACUACGAUCAACGUUGGUAUCAGGAGAUUCUGGGUUCGACCCCCAGGCUGGUCA
Molecule: transfer RNA, 83 nt
Filed under: Colletotrichum falcatum
Lineage: Eukaryota; Fungi; Ascomycota; Sordariomycetes; Glomerellales; Glomerellaceae
Description: tRNA-Arg
Rfam family: tRNA
About the family: Transfer RNA (tRNA) molecules are approximately 80 nucleotides in length.
Source: RNAcentral